Molecule: ribosomal RNA, 435 nt
Filed under: uncultured Lachnospiraceae bacterium
Lineage: Bacteria; Bacillati; Bacillota; Clostridia; Lachnospirales; Lachnospiraceae
Description: partial 16S ribosomal RNA
Rfam family: Bacterial small subunit ribosomal RNA
Source: RNAcentral
ACGGGAGGCAGCAGUGGGGAAUAUUGCACAAUGGGGGAAACCCUGAUGCAGCGAUGCCGCGUGAAGGAUGAAGGCUUUCGGGUUGUAAACUUCUAUCAGCAAGGAAGAAAACGGACAGUACUUGACUAAGCAGCCCCGGCUAACUACGUGCCAGCAGCCGCGGUAAUACGUAGGGGGCGAGCGUUAUCCGGAAUUACUGGGUGUAAAGGGUGUGUAGGCGGCAAUGCAAGUCAGUUGUGAAAGCUGUGGGCUCAACUCACAAAUUGCAAUUGAAACUGCAUAGCUAGAGUACAGGAGGGGAAAGCGGAAUUCCAAGUGUAGCGGUGAAAUGCGUAGAUAUUUGGAAGAACACCAGCAGCGAAGGCGGCUUUCUGGACUGUAACUGACGCUGAGACACGAAAGCGUGGGGAGCAAACAGGAUUAGAUACCCUGGUA